This 301-nucleotide ribosomal RNA is filed under the name uncultured bacterium. RNAcentral describes it as "partial 16S ribosomal RNA". It matches the Rfam family "Bacterial small subunit ribosomal RNA", at positions 509 to 807 of the family's 1533-position model. The record is from RNAcentral.
CAGUCGCCACGGUAAUACAGAGGGUGCAAGCGUUAAUCGGAAUUACUGGGCGUAAAGCGCGCGUAGGUGGUUUGUUAAGUUGGAUGUGAAAUCCCCGGGCUCAACCUGGGAACUGCAUCCAAAACUGGCAAGCUAGAGUAUGGUAGAGGGUGGUGGAAUUUCCUGUGUAGCGGUGAAAUGCGUAGAUAUAGGAAGGAACACCAGUGGCGAAGGCGACCACCUGGACUGAUACUGACACUGAGGUGCGAAAGCGUGGGGAGCAAACAGGAUUAGAUACCCGCGUAGUCCCUGUCUCUUAUAC